UACAGAGGAUACGAGCGUUGUCCAGAAUCACUGGGCGUAAAGAGCGCAUAAAUAACUUAAUAAGCGUAUGGUGAAAGUCCGGAACUCAACCCCGGAUCUGCCGUGCGAACUGCUGAGCUGGAGCACUGUAGAGGCAGGUGGAAUUUCGGGUGUAGCGGUGGAAUGCGUAAAUAUCCGAAAGAACACCAGUAACGAAGGCGACCUACUGGACAGUUGCUGACACUGAGGCGCGACAGCGUGGGGAGCAAAC
Molecule: ribosomal RNA, 250 nt
Filed under: uncultured bacterium
Lineage: Bacteria
Description: partial 16S ribosomal RNA
Rfam family: Bacterial small subunit ribosomal RNA
Source: RNAcentral